UACGGAGGAUGCAAGCGUUAUCCGGAAUGAUUGGGCGUAAAGCGUCCGCAGGUGGCUGUGUAAGUCUGCUGUUAAAGAGUGAGGCUCAACCUCAUAAAGGCAGUGGAAACUACAUGGCUAGAGUGCGUUCGGGGCAGAGGGAAUUCCUGGUGUAGCGGUGAAAUGCGUAGAGAUCAGGAAGAACACCGGUGGCGAGAGCGCUCUGCUAGGCCGCAACUGACACUGAGGGACGAAAGCUAGGGGAGCGAAUGGG
RNAcentral lists this ribosomal RNA (253 nucleotides) under uncultured bacterium. Its description in RNAcentral is "partial 16S ribosomal RNA". It matches the Rfam family "Bacterial small subunit ribosomal RNA", at positions 524 to 776 of the family's 1533-position model. The record is from RNAcentral.